UUUGAGCUUUCGCAGAGGAUUGCAAAGGGCAAAGGGUGAGGGGAGAGGGAACAAACACCGGCAGGGCUCUCGAGGAGGGGGCAGCCAGUGUGUGCGUGCUGUGAAGGGGACUUCACGGUGGAGCUGCUAAUUAAAUAAGAAAGGCUCGUCUCCAUGCUUGUUAGGUUAACUCAGCAGGGAUAUUGCAAAAGCAAAUUCUUCCCAGCAAGUGUAAUUAGGGGGCCGGAAUUCCUCUGGUUCCUUGUCCUCCCUUCGAAUCCUGCUAAAGCCAUCAGGGUGGAAAAUACACAUUCAACAAAACAGGCCCUGUCUCCGGGCUGGGUCGUAGGGCUGCUUCCCCCAGGACUGCAUGCUCACGUUGAAGAUGGAAAGAGGACUGUGAGGGGUCUGGGCAGGGCACCGGCAGCUCCCAGCCCACAGGAUUUGGGAGGUGUCCGCUCACAGCACGGUUGUCCUGGAUGGUGCUGCUGACCCGCUUCAUCUCCCUUGCCCACAGCUCCACCCCAGCACAGCGGGACAUCUCAGGGUUUGCCUGGCACUUUGUGGCAUGUGUUGCUGUGCUUGUGCCAGUGCUGCCUGUGCAGGCAAAGGAGGAUGCUCGUGGGAGACAACACAUGAAGAUGUGCCCUGCCUGGCACUAGGGGACACCAGGACUGCAGCUGGGGUUUCCCUCCAGCUGUGUGGAAAUAUGCUUAAGGCUGGUCCAUGUAAAGGGCCUGCUAGGGCUGGUCCCUAGCCCUUGGCAGCCCUGGGCAUGCCACCUCCCUGCCUGGCAUCUGCCACCACCCUUUCUCCAUGGCAAAGCCUCUGAUGGAGGAAUUUCAUCCUCCAUCUCCUACCCAGCCUGGUCCAGCACCAUCCUUGUCUCAUACCUUGUGUACCUUUAUCUUGUGUAGGGUUUUACCUUUUUUGUCCCGUUUCCCUGCUGAACCCAAGCAUCUGCCAGUGGGAGUUCAACAUCUCUCUGUUCCAUGUCGGUGUGAAUGACCAGAAUCAAGAAAUUUGACCAAAAUGAACAUUUUGGAUGUUGUUUUUAUCUGUCUGCUGGGUUUUGGAGAGAGAGAGAGAGGGUUUUUGUUCCCCGUUGUAAUUCCAAGUGCUAAAAUUGCCCGUGUUUUUAGGUCAAAAAUAUGGAUCACAACCAAACCAAUGUUCUCCUGACUCUAGCAGCUGAGAUUUAAGAAAAACACCAAAACCAGGCAAAUGAGCUCUCUGGCCAUGAGCUGGAAGCCAUGUGAGCUGGCAAAAGGUAGCUGAGAGAGGACUUGUGCCCCAAGCGAAUUGUGGA
This is a long non-coding RNA of Corvus hawaiiensis (hawaiian crow), 1288 nucleotides long. RefSeq lists it as uncharacterized. The record is from RefSeq and is a predicted model, not a curated record. The transcript is spliced from 3 exons. NCBI's taxonomy places the organism in Eukaryota, Metazoa, Chordata, Aves, Passeriformes, Corvidae.